RNAcentral lists this ribosomal RNA (406 nucleotides) under uncultured bacterium. Its description in RNAcentral is "partial 16S ribosomal RNA". It matches the Rfam family "Bacterial small subunit ribosomal RNA", at positions 30 to 526 of the family's 1533-position model. The record is from RNAcentral.
AUUGAACGCUGGCGGCAGGCCUAACACAUGCAAGUCGAACGAGUGGCGGACGGGUGAGUAAUGUCUGGGAAACUGCCUGAUGGAGGGGGAUAACUACUGGAAACGGUAGCUAAUACCGCAUACCAUCGGAUGUGCCCAGAUGGGAUUAGCUAGUAGGUGGGGUAAAGGCCUACCAAGGCGACGAUCAGUAGCGGGUCUGAGAGGAUGAUCCGCCACACUGGGACUGAGACACGGCCCAGACUCCUACGGGAGGCAGCAGUGGGGAAUUUUGGACAAUGGGCGCAAGCCUGAUCCAGCCAUGCCGCGUGUCUGAAGAAGGCCUUCGGGUUGUAAAGGACUUUUGUCAGGGAAGCGGUACCUGAAGAAUAAGCACCGGCUAACUACGUGCCAGCAGCCGCGGUAAUAC